RNAcentral lists this ribosomal RNA (253 nucleotides) under uncultured bacterium. RNAcentral's name for it is "partial 16S ribosomal RNA". It matches the Rfam family "Bacterial small subunit ribosomal RNA", at positions 524 to 776 of the family's 1533-position model. The record is from RNAcentral.
UACAGAGGGGGCAAGCGUUGUUCGGACUUACUGGGCGUAAAGGGCGCGUAGGCGGUGGAUCAAGUCAGGCGUGAAAGCCCCGGGCUCAACCUGGGAACCGCGCUUGAGACUGGUGCGCUAGAGUUCGGGAGAGGAUGGUGGAAUUCCCAGUGUAGAGGUGAAAUUCGUAGAUAUUGGGAAGAACACUGAUGGCGAAGGCAGCCAUCUGGACCGACACUGACGCUGAGGCGCGAAAGCGUGGGAAGCAAACAGG